Poeciliopsis prolifica (blackstripe livebearer) is the source of this 135-nucleotide long non-coding RNA. RefSeq lists it as uncharacterized. The record is from RefSeq and is a predicted model, not a curated record. The transcript has 3 exons. NCBI's taxonomy places the organism in Eukaryota, Metazoa, Chordata, Actinopteri, Cyprinodontiformes, Poeciliidae.
AAAUAUAAAAAACAAACAUUUAAAUCUAAUUUCUCAGAGUUCUGAAGCAAGUUCUGUUCAGGUUCUGUCCAGGUUCUGUUCGGGUUCUGUCCUGAGCUCCAGAACCAGAAUCGAUGGUCCAAAGUCUGUGUGAAC